GCUCUAGUGGCGCAAUUGGUUAGCGCACGGUACUUAUAAGACAGUAAUCGAGCGAUGCCGUGGUUGUGAGUUCGAGCCUCACCUAGAGCA
Anopheles farauti is the source of this 90-nucleotide non-coding RNA. NCBI's taxonomy places the organism in Eukaryota, Metazoa, Arthropoda, Insecta, Diptera, Culicidae. The record is from Rfam.